RNAcentral lists this ribosomal RNA (274 nucleotides) under uncultured bacterium. RNAcentral describes it as "partial 16S ribosomal RNA". It matches the Rfam family "Bacterial small subunit ribosomal RNA", at positions 523 to 796 of the family's 1533-position model. The record is from RNAcentral.
AUACGGAGGGUGCGAGCGUUGUUCGGAAUUAUUGGGCGUAAAGAGCAUGUAGGCGGUCUGUUAAGUCUGGUGUGAAAGCCCGGGGCUCAACCCCGGAAGUGCAUUGGAUACUGGCAGACUUGAGUAUGGGAGAGGAAAGCGGAAUUCCGAGUGUAGGAGUGAAAUCCGUAGAUAUUCGGAGGAACACCAGUGGCGAAGGCGGCUUUCUGGACCAAUACUGACGCUGAGAUGCGAAAGCGUGGGGAGCAAACAGAAUUAGAAACCCUAGUAGUCC